UGGGGAAUAUUCCGCAAUGGACGAAAGUCUGACGGAGCAACGCCGCGUGAGUGAUGAAGGUUUUCGGACUGUAAAGCUCUGUUGUUUAGGACGAAAGUGCCUGUUGCGAACAGUUACAGGUAUUGACGGUACUAAACGAGGAAGCCACGGCUAACUACGUGCCAGCAGCCGCGGUAAUACGUAGGUGGCAAGCGUUGUCCGGAAUUAUUGGGCGUAAAGAGCAUGUAGGCGGAGAUUUAAGUCUGUUGUGAAAAUGCGGGGCUCAACCCCGUAUUGCGAUGGAAACUGAAUUUCUUGAGUGCAGGAGAGGAAAGGGGAAUUCCCAGUGUAGCGGUGAAAUGCGUAGAUAUUGGGAGGAACACCAGUGGCGAAGGCGCCUUUCUGGACUGUGUCUGACGCUGAGAUGCGAAAGCCAGGGUAGCGAACGG
This 428-nucleotide ribosomal RNA is filed under the name uncultured bacterium. RNAcentral describes it as "bacterial SSU rRNA". It matches the Rfam family "Bacterial small subunit ribosomal RNA", at positions 355 to 775 of the family's 1533-position model. The record is from RNAcentral.